UACGUAGGGGGCAAGCGUUGUUCGGAAUUACUGGGCGUAAAGGGCGCGUAGGCGGCACGGCAAGUCAGGAGUGAAAGGCCUGGGCUCAACCGAGGAACUGCUUUUGAGACUGCCGAGCUAGAGUGCAGAAGGGGCAACUGGAAUUCCCAGUGUAGCGGUGAAAUGCGUAGAUAUUGGGAAGAACACCUGAGGCGAAGGCGGGUUGCUGGGCUGACACUGACGCUAAGGCGCGAAAGCCAGGGGAGCAAACGGG
Molecule: ribosomal RNA, 253 nt
Filed under: uncultured bacterium
Lineage: Bacteria
Description: partial 16S ribosomal RNA
Rfam family: Bacterial small subunit ribosomal RNA
Source: RNAcentral